This 544-nucleotide long non-coding RNA is filed under the name Homo sapiens (human). Its description in RNAcentral is "HSALNT0325378". The record is from RNAcentral. Lineage: Eukaryota; Metazoa; Chordata; Mammalia; Primates; Hominidae.
UUAGAGUUUUUACUUGUUUCACCUUUAACAGAAUUUUCUGCAAAAGGCAGAGGCAGCUGACAUCUUCAAAAGUUUAAGCCUUUCUACAGCAAAACUGCAGCAGCUCUAUUACAUUGAAACAGAAGGAUGAUGGGAGGGAAAUUCCUUUGGGUUCUUUGCUUGCCUAUCAAGAGGACAUCAGUCAAAAAUGCCAGUCUGAGGAGUUUGAAUUUAAUCCUGUGAUUCAGUGAUCCCAAAGGCGCUGUGUCUUCUCAAAAGAUGCAAAAGAUGGUAUGCAUCUUGUUCCUCUUUCAGACACAGGUGAAAAUUGAAGUUUCUAGAAACUGGAGUUUCCUUCUCAUCUUGUUGGCAUCUUCCCCUGGGGAGAGGGGUAAUACCUCCACAGGAACCUAGAGGUGAUGGUGUCCAGUAGCCAUGAGAUACCUGCUGCCCAGAAUGGGUUUCUAAAGGCUAUUAAAAGGAACCAGAUCUCUUGGAGAAUGGCUGAUCCUAGGCUUGAUUCAAGGAAAGUUCAAGGUGGGGUCUUGCUCUGUUGCACAGGCUG